RNAcentral lists this ribosomal RNA (253 nucleotides) under uncultured bacterium. RNAcentral's name for it is "partial 16S ribosomal RNA". It matches the Rfam family "Bacterial small subunit ribosomal RNA", at positions 524 to 776 of the family's 1533-position model. The record is from RNAcentral.
GACAGAGGUGCCAAGCGUUAGGCGGAAUCACUGGGCUUAAAGCGUGUGUAGGCGGAUUGGUAAGUACCUUGUGAAAUCCCACGGCUCAACCGUGGAACUGCUUGGUAUACUGCUUAUCUUGGGCCACUUAGGGGCUACCGGAACAAAUGGUGGAGCGGUGAAAUGCGUAGAUAUCAUUUGGAACGCCAAUGGUGAAAACAGGUAGCUGGGAGUGUGCUGACGCUGAGACACGAAAGCCAGGGGAGCGAACGGG